UACGAAGGGGGCUAGCGUUGUUCGGAAUCACUGGGCGUAAAGGGUGCGUAGGCGGGUCUUUAAGUCCGGGGUGAAAUCCUGGAGCUCAACUCCAGAACUGCCUUUGAUACUGAGGAUCUUGAGUCCGGGAGAGGUGAGUGGAACUGCGAGUGUAGAGGUGAAAUUCGUAGAUAUUCGCAAGAACACCAGUGGCGAAGGCGGCUCACUGGCCCGGUACUGACGCUGAGGCACGAAAGCGUGGGGAGCAAACAGG
Molecule: ribosomal RNA, 253 nt
Filed under: uncultured bacterium
Lineage: Bacteria
Description: partial 16S ribosomal RNA
Rfam family: Bacterial small subunit ribosomal RNA
Source: RNAcentral